This 347-nucleotide long non-coding RNA is filed under the name Olea europaea (common olive). RNAcentral's name for it is "long non-coding RNA (OEUR_LNC001582)". Lineage: Eukaryota; Viridiplantae; Streptophyta; Magnoliopsida; Lamiales; Oleaceae. The record is from RNAcentral.
AGAGCUUUAAUAUUACAGAAUUACUUUUGCUAUAUAUUAAUAUAACUGAGCUUGGUCAUAAUUGCUAUUCCUACUAUGUUUGUUAGUAAAAACUCUGGUCUCUAGUCUUGUUAAAAUCCUUUCUUCUCACUGUUUCUAUAAGACAUGUCUUAUAAUUCGUUUGAUUGGAAUAUGCAUAUUUACAAUCACUAUGUUAUGCUAUGUGUUUUUAGAUUCUCGGACGAUUGGCAGCUUCAAUGGACAAACCAUUUGUUUUGGUCUCAAAGAGGUGCCUGGAACCUUGUCAUCCCUCAAACUGUCUAUAGCCUCAAGAUCAAAGAUUUGACACAACAGCUUAGCAUUUUCAG